Molecule: long non-coding RNA, 1217 nt
Organism: Equus caballus (horse)
Lineage: Eukaryota; Metazoa; Chordata; Mammalia; Perissodactyla; Equidae
Source: RefSeq, a predicted model, not a curated record
GCCUAUAUUUAACCUCAAAAAUGGUCACUGCAUAUGAUUCAAAUUAAUACAUUUUAAUUGAGAAUGGAGGAAAUGCUUUUCCCCUGCUCCUGACCUUUCCUUCAUGCAGAGGAGUUGCUAACCCUCCUGGCCUCUCUUUGCCCCCAUGCCCCUCUGUCCACACAUUCUGCCCUGUGAGGUGUAGUAAGUGAUUUAUUCUGUGUAUUUGGAAGGAGGAACUAGCCUUAGGAGCCUUGCUCCUUCAUCUCCUCUUUCUCACAGGGAGCCAGAAUUCUGUCUUGCUCUUCCAAGCUGUAAGGCCUAUGGGAGGUUUGAAUUUAUCCAUAACUUCCAGAGCCUGACGUGUUGUUUAAAAGUAAUAAAAGUAACAUUUGGUUCCUCAUCUGCCUGAUUUCUGUCUAUCUUUUCAUGCAUUUCAAACAAGGUACCUGUUCCGCCACACGCCCAGCUGAGUGAGCAAAGUGGGCUAGGUUGCCAAGAGACCAACAACCUGGAGACAGUGAACAAAACAUAUGGCUUUACUGGGGAGUUACUUACAGGGAAGGUCCAGUGGCGGCUGGCUGAACAGGUGAUGUGCAUCCACUAUCGCUCCCUGAGAGAAGCUUGCUUAAGUAGGCAGAAGAGCAAAGCCUGCAUGCUUGCCAAGGGGGACUGUCCUGUAUGACCUGCAUUCAAAGGAUCAGAGGCAUCCCCCACCCCAGAGGGCCUCCGUGUUCCCUCAGACCAUGAGGGUCUCUGUGCUAACUCUCCCAUGAGAAAGCAGCUGUGUUGGCCAAGCCCAGGACUAUUAUCACCAUGAGUGCUGGCACAUAGCCCUGACAAGGAGCCUCAAGGACAUGUGGUUUUAAAGGGGGCAUGCCAGCUAGCACCCCUACAGUACCCCAAUGCUUCUGGUAUUAGGAAUGAACAAGAUUCUAUGCAUGAGAAUAAUAAAGGACUGAGUUCUUACCUCAAACUUCACCCAUACUCUCCACAACCUUCAGCAAGAUCCAAGAUACACAGCCAGCAUUUACUUCAGAUGUGUGAACUGCUGUCCUACCAUCUUCAAGGCUAAGACUCCAAACUGCUUUACAUACUACAUCUAGCGUGACUAAGAAUAAUAAGCAAGAGCCUGUGGCCAAGUACAUCAUUGGGUAGCCACAAAUUAUAAAAAGAACAUGCCACUACAUCAACAAGGAUGCCGCCACAGUAUGGCUUGAUGAGCAGUGCUAGGUCUG